RNAcentral lists this ribosomal RNA (253 nucleotides) under uncultured bacterium. RNAcentral describes it as "partial 16S ribosomal RNA". It matches the Rfam family "Bacterial small subunit ribosomal RNA", at positions 524 to 776 of the family's 1533-position model. The record is from RNAcentral.
UACAUGUGGGGCAAGCGUUGUUCGGAAUUACUGGGCAUAAAGGGUGCGUAGGCGGCUUGUUAAGUCACUGGUGAAAGUUUUCGGCCCAACCGGAAAAUGGCCUGUGAUACUGGCGAGCUCGAGUGCGUGAGGGGUGGGGGGAACGAGCAGUGUAGCGGUGAAAUGCGUAGAUAUUGCUCGGAAGGCCGGAGCCGAAGGGGCCCCACUGGUACGCAACUGACGCUGAGGCACGAAAGCGUGGGGAGCAAACAGG